This 422-nucleotide ribosomal RNA is filed under the name uncultured bacterium. RNAcentral's name for it is "bacterial SSU rRNA". It matches the Rfam family "Bacterial small subunit ribosomal RNA", at positions 355 to 774 of the family's 1533-position model. The record is from RNAcentral.
UGAGGAAUAUUGGGCAAUGCCCGCAAGGGUGACCCAGCAACGCCGCGUGGAGGAUGAAUGUCGUAAGAUUGUAAACUCCUGUUAGAGGGGAAGAAUAGUACCGGUUGGACCGGUAUAUGACUGUACCCCCAGAGAAAGCCCCGGCUAACUACGUGCCAGCAGCCGCGGUAAUACGUAGGGGGCAAGCGUUGUCCGGAUUUACUGGGUGUAAAGGGCGCGCAGGCGGGAUAAAAAGUCAGUGGUGAAAUCCUACAGCUUAACUGUAGAACUGCCUUUGAUACUUUUAUUCUUGAGUUCGGGAGAGAGAGACGGAAUUCCAGGUGUAGUGGUGAAAUACGUAGAUAUCUGGAAGAACACCAGUUGCGAAGGCGGUCUCUUGGUCCGACACUGACGCUGAGGCGCGAAAGCGUGGGGAGCAAACA